GACGAACGCUGGCGGCGUGCUUAACACAUGCAAGUCGAACGGAAAGGCCCUGCUUUUGUGGGGUGCUCGAGUGGCGAACGGGUGAGUAACACGUGAGUAACCUGCCCUUGACUUUGGGAUAACUUCAGGAAACUGGGGCUAAUACCGGAUAGGAGCUCCUGCUGCAUGGGGGGGGUUGGAAAGAUUCGGCGGUUGGGGAUGGACUCGCGGCUUAUCAGCUUGUUGGUGGGGUAGUGGCGUACCAAGGCUUUGACGGGUAGCCGGCCUGGGAGGGUGACCGGCCACAUUGGGACUGAGAUACGGCCCAGACUCCUACGGGCGGCAGCAGUGGGGAAUAUUGCACAAUGGGCGGAAGCCUGAUGCAGCAACGCCGCGUGCGGGAUGACGGCCUUCGGGUUGUAAACCGCUUUCGCCUGUGACGAAGCGUGAGUGACGGUAAUGGGUAAAGAAGCACCGGCUAACUACGUG
Molecule: ribosomal RNA, 468 nt
Filed under: uncultured bacterium
Lineage: Bacteria
Description: partial 16S ribosomal RNA
Rfam family: Bacterial small subunit ribosomal RNA
Source: RNAcentral